RNAcentral lists this ribosomal RNA (505 nucleotides) under uncultured bacterium. Its description in RNAcentral is "partial 16S ribosomal RNA". It matches the Rfam family "Bacterial small subunit ribosomal RNA", at positions 30 to 523 of the family's 1533-position model. The record is from RNAcentral.
AUUGAACGCUGGCGGCAGGCCUAACACAUGCAAGUCGAACGGUAACAGGAAGCAGCUUGCUGCUUCGCUGACGAGUGGCGGACGGGUGAGUAAUGUCUGGGAAACUGCCUGAUGGAGGGGGAUAACUAUUGGAAACGGUAGCUAAUACCGCAUAAUGUCGCAAGACCAAAGAGGGGGACCUUCGGGCCUCUUGCCAUCGGAUGUGCCCAGAUGGGAUUAGCUAGUAGGUGGGGUACGGCUCACCUAGGCGACGAUCCCUAGCUGGUCUGAGGGGAUGACCAGCCACACUGGAACUGAGACACGGUCCAGACUCCUACGGGAGGCAGCAGUGGGGAAUAUUGCACAAUGGGCGCAAGCCUGAUGCAGCCAUGCCGCGUGUAUGAAGAAGGCCUUCGGGUUGUAAAGUACUUUCAGCGGGGAGGAAGGCGAUAAGGUUAAUAACCUUGUCGAUUGACGUUAUCCGCAGAAGAAGCACCGGCUAACUCCGUGCCAGCCGCCGCAGUAA